CUUGGUCCANUUAGAGGAAGUAAAAGUCGUAACAAGGUCUCCGUUGGUGAACCAGCGGAGGGAUCAUUACCGAGUUUACAACUCCCAAACCCCUGUGAACAUACCACUUGUUGCCUCGGCGGAUCAGCCCGCUCCCGGUAAAACGGGACGGCCCGCCAGAGGACCCCUAAACUCUGUUUCUAUAUGUAACUUCUGAGUAAAACCAUAAAUAAAUCAAAACUUUCAACAACGGAUCUCUUGGUUCUGGCAUCGAUGAAGAACGCAGCAAAAUGCGAUAAGUAAUGUGAAUUGCAGAAUUCAGUGAAUCAUCGAAUCUUUGAACGCACAUUGCGCCCGCCAGUAUUCUGGCGGGCAUGCCUGUUCGAGCGUCAUUUCAACCCUCAAGCACAGCUUGGUGUUGGGACUCGCGUUAAUUCGCGUUCCUCAAAUUGAUUGGCGGUCACGUCGAGCUUCCAUAGCGUAGUAGUAAAACCCUCGUUACUGGUAAUCGUCGCGGCCACGCCGUUAAACCCCAACUUCUGAAUGUUGACCUCGGAUCAGGUAGGAAUACCCGCUGAACUUAAGCAUAUCAAUAAGCGGAGGAAAAGAAACCAACAGGGAUUGCCCUAGUAACGGCGAGUGAAGCGGCAACAGCUCAAAUUUGAAAUCUGGCUCUCGGGCCCGAGUUGUAAUUUGUAGAGGAUACUUUUGAUGCGGUGCCUUCCGAGUUCCCUGGAACGGGACGCCAUAGAGGGUGAGAGCCCCGUCUGGUUGGAUGCCAAAUCUCUGUAAAGUUCCUUCAACGAGUCGAGUAGUUUGGGAAUGCUGCUCUAAAUGGGAGGUAUAUGUCUUCUAAAGCUAAAUACCGGCCAGAGACCGAUAGCGCACAAGUAGAGUGAUCGAAAGAUGAAAAGCACUUUGAAAAGAGAGUUAAAAAGUACGUGAAAUUGUUGAAAGGGAAGCGUUUAUGACCAGACUUGGGCUUGGUUAAUCAUCUGGGGUUCUCCCCAGUGCACUUUUCCAGUCCAGGCCAGCAUCAGUUUUCCCCGGGGGAUAAAGGCGGCGGGAAUGUGGCUCUCUUCGGGGAGUGUUAUAGCCCACCGUGUAAUACCCUGGGGGGGACUGAGGUUCGCGCAUCUGCAAGGAUGCUGGCGUAAUGGUCAUCAACGACCCGUCUUGAACCACGGACC
This 1169-nucleotide ribosomal RNA is filed under the name Fusarium oxysporum. RNAcentral describes it as "eukaryotic LSU rRNA". The stretch from base 527 to 1169 matches the Rfam family "Eukaryotic large subunit ribosomal RNA", at positions 1 to 667 of the family's 3401-position model. Lineage: Eukaryota; Fungi; Ascomycota; Sordariomycetes; Hypocreales; Nectriaceae. The record is from RNAcentral.